UUUUCAUUUUUAAUAAUAAAAAAAAAGGUAUUAAUAUGAAGAAAUGAAGUACCAAACACCAAAAAAACAAAAUUAUUUUACAAAGGAAUUAUUUGGUCUCUUCCCUUUUGAGAACUCUACAUGGGUUUCAGGUGAAAAUUAUCAUUAGUAAAUAAAUAACUGUUAUGGUUACAAUAAUACAUUCUACAGAUGCAUGUGAAACCUUAAGCUGUGUUGUAAAGAUGGUAGUGUACGAUCAGCUUCUAUAAUUGCUGUCCCUCUAAUGGGCUUUGGAAUUGGAAGACUCCAUUGCCUUUGACCUAAAAUAUGCAUUUUCCGCAUUACUCAACCGGUUUUGGAACAUGGUCCACUCACCCCUGCACCUGUCCCUCACCUGCCAUCAAUAGAGAGAGCUCAGCAUAUUUCAUAAACAAGUUAAAGAAAAAUAUCAAUCUUACAUCUGCAACUUCAAGCUACAGUUUUAUACAAGCAAACUUGUAAUUACAGCACCAGGAAAGCAUGAGAGCGACUGGCAGGGAAAGAAUUAAAUUUCUUGUACUAUUGUUGCAGUUGCCACUUGCUCCAACUUGAUAUCAAAACACACCAUGCAUCAUGAUUUUCCCCAAAAAAAAAAAGAAUACAAAGCAGAAAAAAUCUCUAUUAAUUAUUAUGCACAUGGAGUGUCUGAUAUGGAGUACCAUGUGACAGCACAGCAGGAAGUGCUAGACCUUUUCCCCACCGAGAGAAAAGGGGGAGAGAGUCAUAAAUACUGCUAUAAAAGAAAAGAGUAAAAUUUUGCUUUACAUACCCCUUUCCAAGGUGCCUUCCCAUUUUCUGACUGACCCUGGUUUCCAAGAGAGGGAACAGUUUGAUGAACAAUCCAUUGAGA
This 868-nucleotide unclassified non-coding RNA is filed under the name Hevea brasiliensis (rubber tree). Lineage: Eukaryota; Viridiplantae; Streptophyta; Magnoliopsida; Malpighiales; Euphorbiaceae. The record is from RNAcentral.